GGAGGGUGCGAGCGUUGUUCGGAAUCAUUGGGCGUAAAGGGCGUGUAGGCGGCUGGGUAAGUCUGAUGUGAAAGCCCGGGGCUCAACCCUGGAAGUGCAUUGGAGACUGCUCGGCUUGAGUACUGGAGAGGAUGGGGGAAUUCCCGGUGUAGAGGUGAAAUUCGUAGAGAUCGGGAGGAAUACCAGUGGCGAAGGCGCCCAUCUGGACGGUGACUGACGCUGAGACGCGAAAGCGUGGGGAGCAAACAGGAUUAGAUACCCUGGUAGUCCACGCUGUAAACGUUGGGUGCUAGACGUCGGGGGUAUUGACCCCUCCGGUGUCGAAGCUAACGCAUUAAGCACCCCGCCUGGGGAGUACGGCCGCAAGGCUA
This 371-nucleotide ribosomal RNA is filed under the name uncultured bacterium. RNAcentral's name for it is "bacterial SSU rRNA". It matches the Rfam family "Bacterial small subunit ribosomal RNA", at positions 527 to 896 of the family's 1533-position model. The record is from RNAcentral.